RNAcentral lists this long non-coding RNA (658 nucleotides) under Homo sapiens (human). RNAcentral's name for it is "non-protein coding lnc-G0S2-1:1". The record is from RNAcentral. Lineage: Eukaryota; Metazoa; Chordata; Mammalia; Primates; Hominidae.
AAACUCCCUUCUUCUGCUUCAUUCCACCCCACUGGAAAGGCAACCUCAACUUCAGCACAGACAUCUCCAGAAAGAGGGAUGUCCCCUGGACCUGAGUGCAGAAAGUUGGCUAGUGUGCCGGGGACCUCUACAGGUCCUGCCAGUGGCAAUGGCUACAGACCCUCAUAUGGCACCCAGGCAGGGGGUAGAUGGCCAGGAAAAGAAGCAAGGUAGGUCUGCAAGACAGUUCCCAGAGGCUUCUGUGGGCCUGGACCCCAGAAGCAAUGGAGUGAGAAGCCAGGCUAGCAAAGUUGUGAGGCCAUCCAGGUUUGUCUUCGGGCCUUCCCAUUUCACAUUUCUCCUCUCUGCUUUUAACCUCACAAGGCCUACCCCUUAGCCCAUAACAAUUAGGACCCAAGAAUCUCACAUUCCACCAACCCAAGUUUUGCUUCUCUCUGAUAGCAAUUUUUCCCUACAAUGUCCCUUUCCAUUUUCUUCUAUCCCCUCAAAACAAGACUCAUUUUGGGUCUCGUGGGUCCCUUUGCAAAAGUCACAUCUAAGUUUCUGAUAAACAUAGUCUUGCUGAGGGAUGAAUGGCAGGUCAUAGAUUGAUAUGGUGCUUUUCUCAAGGCUAUCUGUGUUUUAAACAAGGAACUCAGUAAUGCUUCAUCCAAAACAG